RNAcentral lists this ribosomal RNA (470 nucleotides) under Pseudomonas sp. SB12-17. RNAcentral's name for it is "bacterial SSU rRNA". It matches the Rfam family "Bacterial small subunit ribosomal RNA", at positions 52 to 517 of the family's 1533-position model. Lineage: Bacteria; Pseudomonadati; Pseudomonadota; Gammaproteobacteria; Pseudomonadales; Pseudomonadaceae. The record is from RNAcentral.
CACAUGCAAGUCGAGCGGAUGACAGGAGCUUGCUCCUGAAUUCAGCGGCGGACGGGUGAGUAAUGCCUAGGAAUCUGCCUGGUAGUGGGGGACAACGUUUCGAAAGGAACGCUAAUACCGCAUACGUCCUACGGGAGAAAGCAGGGGACCUUCGGGCCUUGCGCUAUCAGAUGAGCCUAGGUCGGAUUAGCUAGUUGGUGAGGUAAUGGCUCACCAAGGCGACGAUCCGUAACUGGUCUGAGAGGAUGAUCAGUCACACUGGAACUGAGACACGGUCCAGACUCCUACGGGAGGCAGCAGUGGGGAAUAUUGGACAAUGGGCGAAAGCCUGAUCCAGCCAUGCCGCGUGUGUGAAGAAGGUCUUCGGAUUGUAAAGCACUUUAAGUUGGGAGGAAGGGCAUUAACCUAAUACGUUAGUGUUUUGACUUUACCGACAGAAUAAGCACCGGCUAACUCUGUGCCUGCAGCCG